CUCAAAUAAUGUGUGACC
RNAcentral lists this ribosomal RNA (18 nucleotides) under Ochlerotatus hexodontus. Its description in RNAcentral is "partial 28S ribosomal RNA". Lineage: Eukaryota; Metazoa; Arthropoda; Insecta; Diptera; Culicidae. The record is from RNAcentral.